GGGUAUAUAGCUCAACUGGCAGAGCACCCGGCUUUUAACCGGUUGGUUUUAGGUUCAAGUCCUAAUAUACCUA
RNAcentral lists this transfer RNA (73 nucleotides) under Palpitomonas bilix. RNAcentral's name for it is "tRNA-Lys". It matches the Rfam family "tRNA". Rfam says of the family: Transfer RNA (tRNA) molecules are approximately 80 nucleotides in length. The record is from RNAcentral.